GCUUGCUUCGGAAAUACAUAUACUAAACUUGGAACAACAAAGAGAAAAUUGGCAUGGACCCUGCACAAAGGGGACACGCAAAUUCGCGAAGCGUUCCAUAUUUUU
Molecule: small nuclear RNA, 105 nt
Organism: Eptesicus fuscus (big brown bat)
Lineage: Eukaryota; Metazoa; Chordata; Mammalia; Chiroptera; Vespertilionidae
Source: RefSeq, a predicted model, not a curated record